CAGCCGUCUUCUUCCCAUCACUUGGGAAGAGCCUGGAGGGUGAGGGCUGCACUGCUUCCCUCCAGAGAGUUUCCGGCUUCAUCUUUGUGGCCCGCUUCACUCAGGGAGAGCCAGACUGGACCACACUGGGAGGGAGAGCUGGGGAAAGGAUGCUGGAGUUGCGGGUGGUGUCUCCUGCUUUGCCGGCCCCUCCCUUCCUGACAGGGAGCUGGCAGAGCCUCGGAAAGGUGACUCUGCCUGGAAAUGAUGCAGCAAGAGAAUGCGCGCGAUGACCUCAGGUGUUCCCAGGCAUGGCGUGCAGACUCGCUGCAGCUGUCGCACGAAGGAGCAUGCAGGGGCACCUGCUUCCAGGUCUAUCUCUGCCACCUUCAAGCCACGUUGUCCCCGGUGACUUACCUGUUAAAACACUUAUCGCCAAGUGAUGGGCAAACCGAUUGCAUUCAUGUUUUCUUCUGUUAAUCACUAGAUCAGUUGUUUCCAGAUUUCAGGAUUUUCCAGACCAGCAAAAUUGUCCACUUUGUCUGACUGGCCUUCUUGGUGAGCCCCUAAAAUAGACAAUAAUCAUUUGUAAUUAGUAUAUUAACUUUUUGUAGAUAAACGGGUGCUCCUGGGUUGUUUUAAAAGCCUUUAAUAGUGGCUUCCUUUAACUCUUAAAGAAGCUAAGUAUCCCCCCAGAUAGUUGAUUCUAUCCUUGUGCCCAGCAAGGCUUUUUUAAAAAAACACUUAGCGCCCAGGAAAAUUUUAGGCCAGAAUGAAGGCAAAACAUUAAUGACACAGAAUGUGCCUUGCGAGGGGACAAGAGCUGCUUUCCUGGGCCCCACAUUGGGCGGCUGAGCCGUGGCCCUCCCUCCAGCUUGCAGGGCCCGGCUGCCAGCCGGGAACACGCUCUUCCCUUGCUGAGCCAUCCCACAGAUCAAGCCUGUGUCAUUCUGAAGUCAGCACUGGGAAUGGCCAAAUCAAUGGGAUUGCAAAGGCGGAUCCAGAGGGCUCUGAGAAGCUAGGAGCUGGCUCCCUUUGUUCGGCCCAGGGGUCCGUCCCCAGCAGGCAAGGCCCCACAGCAGCCACCUCCACUUGGGGCCUCUGAUGUGGGCCACAGCAAAGUCCCAACAAGCGAUGGCAGUAUCUGUCUUCAGUGCCUUCAUCUCUCUCUCCUCGGUGUACCCUUCUGCCAGGCUCCCACAGCUGCCCGAGGAAGCCCUAUGAACUCAGUUUCUAUCUGG
Molecule: long non-coding RNA, 1220 nt
Filed under: Equus caballus (horse)
Lineage: Eukaryota; Metazoa; Chordata; Mammalia; Perissodactyla; Equidae
Description: lncRNA (ENSECAG00000051238.1)
Source: RNAcentral